Humulus lupulus (European hop) is the source of this 1493-nucleotide long non-coding RNA. RefSeq lists it as uncharacterized. The record is from RefSeq and is a predicted model, not a curated record. Lineage: Eukaryota; Viridiplantae; Streptophyta; Magnoliopsida; Rosales; Cannabaceae. The transcript is spliced from 3 exons.
UGGACCCAAAUGUCAUAUAAUUUUAAUUGGGGAUUUUUAUAAAAUUAAGAAAGUUUGGCUAAAGGGCUUAUUUGAAAAGAAUUUUAGUAUUUUGGGUCCAAGUAUAAUUUUUAAAAAUAAAUAAAUAAAUAAAUAAAAUAAAAAUAAAAUAAAAGGCUUCAGCCUUUCAUUUUACCCGAGCCCCUCUCUCUCUCUCCUCAGAAACCCUCUCUCUCUCUCUCCUCAGAAACUCUCUCUCUCUCUCUCUCUCUCUCUCUCCUCUGCGUAUUACUGUUGCCGACGACGCAGGAGUACUUUCCGGCCACCAUUUUUAGCCACGCGCCGGACCGUUGGAUUCAGAGGCCUCCGAACUAUCGACCAACGCGGGAAUCUAGAGCUCACUCGCCGAUUAAACGCCUCAACCACUCGAUUUAAGUUCGGCCACCCCGCGACUUCAAAGUUGCGAUUCGGCCACCUCGGGCAUCCGUUUGCCGAUCCGUCACCACCAUCGUGCUCCUCGUGUUGUGGGCUUCAAAACCCAAUAACUUGUUCCUACAUCUACCAUAGUUGGGUGGUGGGCCCACCACGAGCCACCGCGAUCCACCGUAGAUCGACGGUCGAAACUUAGUGUUCGAGGUUCCGAAGUACGUUUUGAGUCUCAGAAAAUCAUCGUUUGACUUAUUGUGGAACCCGAUCAUUUUGGAUUUGUAUGGAUUUGAUUGAUUGACUCUUGGUGCGGAAUUUUAAAAUAAGCUAAGGACCUAAGGUGUGGCUUUAGCUGUUGAGCAACUUGUGGAGCACGGACUCAGUAGCAAUGCAAUAAUGGUUUUAGAGUUUUCAUAUGGCUGCCUUAAAUUUAAAGUAUUCAUACGUGUAAUAAUUUCUUCUAAUAAGUUUAUAUAAAAGUUUUAAAUUUUUCUGUAUUUCUUCGUAUCAUUUUAUUUAAUUCUUUUGGUCAAGUGCCUUACAUACUCGUAAACCCUAGAAUUACGAGUAUGUGGCAGACGUACCCUACCUUAGGGACGUUACAAAUGGUAUCAGAGCUUUGAGUUUGUAGAUGUCGUAUACUCGUUAUGUUAUUAGAUUUUGGGAUCUGAAAUGCUACUGAGUUCCGCCACAAGACAAGCCACACGUUAAUGGUUAGUAUAAUUUAUCCAUAUUUUAGUUAAUGUAUGUUAAUGAUGUUGUAUAAUUGUAUUAGAAACUCAUUGUGUUAUUGAGUUUCCAUGAUAUAAGUAUGAGUUUGGAUUAAAUGAAUAUUCUCAUGCACGGUAGAGAAAUUGAAGUUUGUUAUUUAUCUGAAUGCAUGCCUUUAUUAUUGAUGUGAUAAAUAAUUGAUGAUUUAUCGAUGUCGAUGUUUGGAUUGUUAAUUGAUAUUCUCAAGCUUUGAAAGUGAUCUAUCAGUUCAGUUAGUGUGUUAAGGGUUAAUAUGUCAGGUUAGUGUUUUGGAGAGCAGAGUUUUAGGUUGUUGCUGAGAGCACACACAAUAAGAGACUUUAGUGAAACAGUAGUAA